CGAGAAAGCGGGGGCAACCUCGUGAGUAAAGUGGCGUACGGGUGAGUAACACGUGGGUAAUCUACCUCUUGGUGUGGAAUAACGCUGGGAAACCGGCGCUAAUACCGCAUAAGCUCGGGAGAGGAAAGCAGCAAUGCGCCGAGAGAGGAGCCCGCGGCCGAUUAGCUAGUUGGUGAGGUAACGGCCCACCAAGGCAAAGAUCGGUAGCCGGCCUGAGAGGGCACACGGCCACACUGGCACUGAAACACGGGCCAGACUCCUACGGGAGGCAGCAGUGGGGAAUCUUGCACAAUGGGGGCAACCCUGAUGCAGCGACGCCGCGUGAGCGAUGAAGCCCUUCGGGGCGUAAAGCUCUUUCGACGGGAACGAUAAUGACGGUACCCGGAGAGGAAGCUGCGGCUAACUACGUGCCAGCAGCCGCGGUAAUACGUAGGCAGCAAGCGUUGUUCGGAAUUACUGGGCGUAAAGAGUGUGUAGGCGGUUCUCUAUGUUCGGUGUGAAAUCUCCCGGCUUAACUGGGAGGGUGCGCCGAAAACUGGAGGGCUUGAGUAUGGGAGAGGAAAGCGGAAUUCCUGGUGUAGCGGUGAAAUGCGUAGAUAUCAGGAGGAACACCUGUGGUGUAGACAGCUUACUGGACCACUUCUGACGCUGAGACACGAAAGCGUGGGUAGCAAACAGGAUUAGAUACCCUGGUAGUCCACGCCCUAAACGAUGCAUACUUGGUGUGAGCGAUUCAUUUC
RNAcentral lists this ribosomal RNA (740 nucleotides) under uncultured bacterium. RNAcentral's name for it is "bacterial SSU rRNA". It matches the Rfam family "Bacterial small subunit ribosomal RNA", at positions 67 to 838 of the family's 1533-position model. The record is from RNAcentral.